Molecule: ribosomal RNA, 990 nt
Filed under: Dorytomus ictor
Lineage: Eukaryota; Metazoa; Arthropoda; Insecta; Coleoptera; Erirhinidae
Description: SSU rRNA
Rfam family: Eukaryotic small subunit ribosomal RNA
Source: RNAcentral
UUACCCACUCCCGGCACGGGGAGGUAAUGACGAAAAAUAACGAUACGGGACUCAUCCGAGGCCCCGUAAUCCGAAUGAGUACACUCUAAACUCUUUAACAAGGAUCAAUUGGAGGGCAAGUNNGGUGCCAGCAGCCGCGGUAAUUCCAGCUCCAAUAGCGUAUAUUAAAGUUGUUGCGGUUAAAAAGCUCGUAGUCGAAUUUGUGUCUCGCGCCGCUGGUUCAUCGUUCGCGGUGUUAACUGGCGAGUCGCGAGACNUCCUGCCGGUGGGCUUNGCUCGCAAGGGCGGCUCAACUCAAUCCUGCCGCGGUGCUCUUCAUUGAGUGUCGAGGUGGGCCGGCACGUUUACUUUGAACAAAUUAGAGUGCUUAAAGCAGGCUAAAACUUCGCCUGAAUAUUGUGUGCAUAGAAUAAUAGAAUAGGACCUCGGUUCCAUUUUGUUGGUUUUCGGAACCCCGAGGUAAUGAUAAAUAGAAACGGAUGGGGGCAUUCGUAUUGCGACGUUAGANGUGAAAUUCUUGGAUCGUCGCAAGACGGACAGAAGCGAAAGCAUUUGCCAAAGACGCUUUCAUUGAUCAAGAACGAAAGUNAGAGGUUCGAAGGCGAUCAGAUACNGCCCUAGUUCUACCUAUAAACGAUGCCAGCNAGCGAUCCGUCGACGUUCCUCCGAUGACUCGACGGNCAGCUUCCGGGAAACCAAAGCUUUUGGGUUCCGGGGGAAGUAUGGUUGCAAAGCUGAAACUUAAAGGAAUUGACGGAAGGGCACCACCAGGAGUGGAGCCUGCGGCUUAAUUUGACUCAACACGGGAAACNUCACCAGGCCCGGACACCGGAAGGAUUGACAGAUUGAGAGCUCUUUCUUGAUUCGGUGGGUGGUGGUGCAUGGCCGUGCUUAGUUGGUGGAGCGAUUGGUCUGGUUAAUUCCGAUAACGAACGAGGCUCUAGCCUGCUAAAUAGGCGCUCGGCAUCCUAAAGGCCNNNNNNCUGGGGN